UACGUAGGGUGCAAGCGUUGUCCGGAUUUAUUGGGUUUAAAGGGUGCGUAGGCGGCUUUAUAAGUCAGCGUUGAAAUAUGGCAGCUUAACUGUCAGACUGGCAUUGAUACUGUAGAGCUUGAGUGAAGUCGAGGUUGGCGGAAUUGACGGUGUAGCGGUGAAAUGCAUAGAUACCUUCUAGAACCCCGAUUGCGUAGGCAGCUGACUAGGCUACACCUGACACUGAGGCACGAAAGCGUGGGGAGCGAACAGG
RNAcentral lists this ribosomal RNA (253 nucleotides) under uncultured bacterium. RNAcentral's name for it is "partial 16S ribosomal RNA". It matches the Rfam family "Bacterial small subunit ribosomal RNA", at positions 524 to 776 of the family's 1533-position model. The record is from RNAcentral.